Molecule: ribosomal RNA, 327 nt
Filed under: Bacillus sp. CSeA15_47
Lineage: Bacteria; Bacillati; Bacillota; Bacilli; Caryophanales; Bacillaceae
Description: bacterial SSU rRNA
Rfam family: Bacterial small subunit ribosomal RNA
Source: RNAcentral
GUCAGCGGCGGAACGGGUGAGUAACACGUGGGGUAACCUGCCUGUAAGACUGGGAUAACUCCGGGAAACCGGGGCUAAUACCGGAUAGUUCUUUUCCUCGCAUGAGGAAAAGUGGAAAGGCGGCUUCGGCUGCCACUUACAGAUGGACCCGCGGCGCAUUAGCUAGUUGGUGAGGUAACGGCUCACCAAGGCAACGAUGCGUAGCCGACCUGAGAGGGUGAUCGGCCACACUGGGACUGAGACACGGCCCAGACUCCUACGGGAGGCAGCAGUAGGGAAUCUUCCGCAAUGGACGAAAGUCUGACGGAGCAACGCCGCGUGAGUGAU